AGCACGUUAGUAUAAAAAUACCACUGACUUAGGAUCAGUUAAUAAGUUCCAAACUUACUUGCUA
Molecule: transfer RNA, 64 nt
Filed under: Lamellidens marginalis
Lineage: Eukaryota; Metazoa; Mollusca; Bivalvia; Unionida; Unionidae
Description: tRNA-Leu
Source: RNAcentral